RNAcentral lists this ribosomal RNA (1652 nucleotides) under metagenome. RNAcentral describes it as "bacterial LSU rRNA". It matches the Rfam family "Bacterial large subunit ribosomal RNA", at positions 1250 to 2925 of the family's 2925-position model. The record is from RNAcentral.
AUGAAGCCAUACCGAAAGGAGUGGUGGACUGCUAGGAAGAGAGAAUGCCGGAAUGAGUAGCGAGAUGAAGGUGAGAAUCCUUCAGGCCGAAUAUCUAAGGUUUCCAGAGUAAAGCUGAUCUGCUCUGGGUAAGUCGGGACCUAAGGCGAGGUCGAAAGACGUAGUCGAUGGAUAACAGGUUGAAAUUCCUGUACCGCAUAUAAACAGAACUGUGGGGACACAGACAGGGAAUGGAAUCCGGGGAUGGAGAACUCGGAGCAAGCGAGGUAGGAGUAUCAUUGGCAAAACCGUGAUACUGAUCUGAAGACGUGAUGCGUACCGAACAUAAGUAGGGAAGUCCAGGCCCCUGGCUGUCAAGAAAAGCCGCUAUUGUUUUAUAUGUGCCCGUACCGCAGACCGACACAGGUGGAUGAGGAGAGAAUCCUAAGGCCGACGGGAGAAGUAUUGUUAAGGAACUCGGCAAAAUGACUCCGUAACUUCGGGAGAAGGAGUGCCAUGAGAGUGGCCGCAGAGAAAUGGCCCAAGCAACUGUUUAGCAAAAACACAGGUCUAUGCAAAACCGCAAGGUGAAGUAUAUGGGCUGACGCCUGCCCGGUGCUGGAAGGUUAAGGGGAGAGGUUAGCGCAAGCGAAGCUUUGAACUUAAGCCCCAGUAAACGGCGGCCGUAACAAUAACGGUCCUAAGGUAGCGAAAUUCCUUGUCGGGUAAGUUCCGACCCGCACGAAAGGCGUAAUGAUUUGGGCACUGUCUCAACGAUACACCCGGUGAAAUUGAAAUACCAGUGAAGAUGCUGGUUACCUGCGCCAGGACGGAAAGACCCCAUGGAGCUUUACUCCAGUUUGAUACUGGGAUUCGGCAUGGUAUGUACAGGAUAGGUGGGAGACUGAGAAGGUAUGACGUCAGUUGUACCGGAGUCGCUGUUGGGAUACCACCCUUACCAUGUUGGAUUUCUAACCUGUGGCCGUGAACCGGUCAGGGGACAAUGUCAGGCGGGGAGUUUGACUGGGGCGGUCGCCUCCGAAAGGGUGUCGGAGGCGCUCAAAGGUUCCCUCAGAAUGGUUGGAAACCAUUCGAAGAGUGCAAAGGCAGAAGGGAGCUUGACUGUGACACCGACGGGUGGAGCAGGUACGAAAGUAGGACUUAGUGAUCCGGUGGUAUAAAGUGGGAUUGCCAUCGCUCAACGGAUAAAAGCUACCCUGGGGAUAACAGGCUUAUCACUCCCAAGAGUUCACAUCGACGGAGUGGUUUGGCACCUCGAUGUCGGCUCAUCGCAUCCUGGAGCUGUAGCAGGUUCCAAGGGUUGGGCUGUUCGCCCAUUAAAGCGGUACGCGAGCUGGGUUCAGAACGUCGUGAGACAGUUCGGUCCCUAUCCGGCGCAGGCGGAGGAAAUUUGAUAGGAGCUGUCCUUAGUACGAGAGGACCGGGAUGGACGGACCGCUGGUGUAUCUGUUGUACUGCCAAGUGCAUCGCAGAGUAGCCAAGUCUGGAAGGGAUAAACGCUGAAGGCAUCUAAGCGUGAAGCCCCCCUAAAGAUAAGAUUUCCCAUACCGAAAGGUAGUAAGACCCCUUGAAGACGACGAGGUAGAUAGGGCAGAGGUGGAAGUGUGGUAACGCAUGGAGCUGACUGUUACUAAUCGGUCGAGGCUUUAACC